GGUUGAUCACUUGAAAUGUAUUGGUGUCGUCUAGCUGACAGUCGCCGCGUAAGCAUUGUUAAUCAUCUUUAUUGAUGUUCCUUGCUAUUACAUGGACCAACGACAAUAAGCAUCUAUUAGUACGAUCCAAGCACAAACUCCAAAUACUUGUAUUUAACCAUCUUGAUCUCAGAUCAGGCAGGAUGACCCGCUGAACUUAA
Molecule: unclassified non-coding RNA, 200 nt
Filed under: Zoopagales sp.
Lineage: Eukaryota; Fungi; Zoopagomycota; Zoopagomycetes; Zoopagales
Also listed under: 1 other name
Description: partial contains internal transcribed spacer 2 and large subunit ribosomal RNA
Source: RNAcentral